Long non-coding RNA from Oreochromis aureus, 3031 nucleotides. Lineage: Eukaryota; Metazoa; Chordata; Actinopteri; Cichliformes; Cichlidae. The record is from Ensembl.
UGACCUGAACAACCAGCAAAAGACAACUGAGGGUGAGAAAACACUUUUUGGUUUUAAACCGCCGGAAGGGUUUAGAAGAAUGCGCAAAAUAGGUUAGAAGUAGCCGGAAUUACUUCAGGAAAUGCGCAAAGGUUGGAAGUAGCCGGAAUUACUUCAAAGAAGCACGUGAAAUAGGGUUUAAGUUCGCCACAAGGAACUGUGUUUAGAGUGGUUUUAGAAGUGACCGUGAAUUACUUCGUGACAAAUUAGCGCGCAAAUGUCUAUCUGUGUGUACGUAUAUGUGUUUUGGAAGUAAGUUGAUUUUGCAGCACAAUAAGUUGCUGAACUACUUCCAUUGUUUUUGUUUUUAUUGUUUUCUUUGCUGAGGCUCACGUACUGGUGACAAAGGAGAACGGUUGAGUUUUAUCUCGUAAAACUGAUACCGCUUCAUUUUUUAGAAAUGAAGUAGAAGGCCGUACCAGUAAACCACUCUGAAGUCUAGCGUGCCAGUGACGGCCCAGCAAAAUCUUUGAGAAUGGAGAAUAAACAAGCAAAAUUAACACCUGAUGAGAAAUGUUUAGAAAAACAACAAACCAGAGUAGGACUAAUCCAAAAGAAAGACAGAGGAAUGCUUAGUGGAACAACAAGAGGUAGAGGUAGACCUAUACACACACCAAAAAGUGGCUUUAGCACUGCAUGCUGGAGGUGUGGAAAAGAGGGACAUUUUGUACGUGACUGUAAGAAACUAAGAAGCAGUUCAGACUAGGAAGGAAAUAAUAAUCCCUCAUCAAGUGAAAAAUUAGAGAUCAAAGUAGAAGUUUAAAAUGAGUUGGAUACAGACCCAACUGAAUAUAUAUAUAAAUACUCUUAGGAAUAAAGUGGAAUAAAGAAAAGGUUAAAUUAAGGUUAACUUAAAUUAAAUUAGAGCUUAUCGCUACUAUAUUCAAACUAAUAAUAGGAAGCAUAGCAACCUGUAAAUUGGUAUUACCAAAUGAUACAAAAUUGGGUAGACAACCAUACCCAGAAUGAAUAGAAUGAAUGAAAGCAGAUAAUUCACACAAAAUAUAUCAAAUAAAAAAGAGAGAUGCAUAAGGCAUAUUACGGCUGCGUCAUUGUUCAGCCAAGGAAAAUGUCUCCAGCUUGGGAAGGUGUGAAGCUGCAGGUUCACACAGACCCGUGAUGGAUACAUAAUAAAAUAUAAAAUAAUAAUCUAUUGUAUAUUAGUAGUAUAGUAGUAUAUUGUAAUAUACUAUUGCUGUUAUAAUAAAGGAAAAACAAUACAAUGAUAACAUUAAUAAUGACAUAAUAUUAAUAAUAAGAGACACCUCAGUCAGUUAUGAUGUGAGGUGGAUAAUUGUUAAAAGUAGUCUGAUUCAAGCUUAAGGUUUGCUCAAACUCAGUACAAUGAUAUAUGCGAUGAAAAAAUAAGGAAAAUAUCUAAUCUAAUCAAGUGCAUAGAGACACCUGACCUGUCUGUAAACCUGUUAGCCUAGAUGAGACUUUCUUGAGAUGAAGAGCAAACCUAUACUAAUAAAUAAUAAGUCAAGCCCUGAAUACAACAGCUAAAGCUACAGGUUUGUGACAACACAACAGUGCACUGGCUGCUGAUUCUAUUUUUAGACGGUGUGUGUGUGAGAAUGCAAAUGAGAAGCCGUGAGGAUGAUGAGAGGUUUCAGUUUUCUUUUUCUUUUUCUUUUGACUUGCUCUUUCUGAUCAUGGAAGGCAUGUUUAAAAUACUCGUAUGAAAGCGUAUUUUAAGUGAUUUUAACCGUGUGAAUGCUGUCAGUAUUUGAUUUGAGUGACUCUGCAUGAUUUGUCUGAGUGAGUGGAAAAUGGAAGUUUGAGAGAGAAAAGGCAGUGUGUGAGACGAUUACUGAAUGACAAAAGAGGUUAGAAUGUUUAAAAGUGUGAAUGACAUAAAGGUGUUGGUUUUAGAUCAAGAUUUAGUAGAAUUAAAGAGGGUCUGUAGAUUAUAAAUAGAAAGAAAAAAAAAAACAAAAGAGUUAGAUUAGUUUGAAGAAACAGGAAAUAUGGCUCUGUGUACCGACGCUGCAGCGACAGGAAAUAGUGAACAGGAACUUUGCAUGCCCAUAUAUGGGAACUGAGUGUGUACAGAAAGAACACAGAGAGACAGAUGAGGCCCAUGAAGCAAAUGAAGCCUUUAAGAAAAAAUGAAUAUAAUACUAAUUAUAUGCUUUAGUGUGUCAAUACAGGUGGGCGUCUUUCAACUUUGCAACCUUGAGUUCAGCAGCAGAAGAGCAGAUUAACAGAAUUGGGAGAAAAUAAGCCAGUUUUUGGCUCGAAAUUGUGCAGCUUGAUCUCUCACUUUGUCCCUGAAACUGAGAAGAAGUUCAAAGGACAGUCAAUCGCCUGAUGAAGACCGACAGAACAUCGUGGACUUGAAUACAGCAGGCAAACGACAGUGCCACUGAUCCAUUAACACUGAUGACGACUGACGACCAGCAGCAGCAUGUAAGAGUAAUGCAACAUGUACUGUGAAAAUACAGGCUGGGCAGUUGAACAGUGGGAUAAAGAAUUGUGGAAGAGCACUGGACAUUGAGUGAUAUUUUGCCAUGCUGGGACUUAAUCUAAAAGAAAGACUGUAAAGAAACAGAGAAGAAGACAACAGCUGAGUUGAGACUGUGUUUGCUGGAGCUUUGAAGCACGAACAGGACACUGUGAAUGAAAGAGAGACCGGUGAGAGAUGAAGCUGGACGAGUUUGACUGCGAGAAUAUAGGAUAUAAUUGGAUUGAAAGUUGAAACCUGAACUCAUGACUGUUUAGGGAUGUCCACCACAGCAUAACAAAGAGGUAAACAUUAGAAAAGGUAAGAAUAAUGAAAGAAAUAAUUGUCAUUACCUUAAUGAAUAGAAAACACACAUACAAAUUGUUACAUGUGAGAUUAUUUUUGAAAUGAAUCAGAAGUGAGAUAGUUUGAAUUUAGAACUCAGUGAUAAGAUGCAUGAAUUAAACCUUAUUGAAACAAACACUUGCAAUGAAGAAAGCAGCUUACACUCAAUUAAUAUGAACGCAAAGCCUUGGUGCCAUAGGC